This 577-nucleotide ribosomal RNA is filed under the name uncultured bacterium. RNAcentral's name for it is "bacterial SSU rRNA". It matches the Rfam family "Bacterial small subunit ribosomal RNA", at positions 111 to 684 of the family's 1533-position model. The record is from RNAcentral.
UAAUGCCUAGGAAUCUGCCUGGUAGUGGGGGAUAACGUCCGGAAACGGACGCUAAUACCGCAUACGUCCUACGGGAGAAAGCAGGGGACCUUCGGGCCUUGCGCUAUCAGAUGAGCCUAGGUCGGAUUAGCUAGUUGGUGGGGUAAUGGCUCACCAAGGCGACGAUCCGUAACUGGUCUGAGAGGAUGAUCAGUCACACUGGAACUGAGACACGGUCCAGACUCCUACGGGAGGCAGCAGUGGGGAAUAUUGGACAAUGGGCGAAAGCCUGAUCCAGCCAUGCCGCGUGUGUGAAGAAGGUCUUCGGAUUGUAAAGCACUUUAAGUUGGGAGGAAGGGCAGUAAAUUAAUACUUUGCUGUUUUGACGUUACCGACAGAAUAAGCACCGGCUAACUCUGUGCCAGCAGCCGCGGUAAUACAGAGGGUACAAGCGUUAAUCGGAAUUACUGGGCGUAAAGCGCGCGUAGGUGGUUCGUUAAGUUGGAUGUGAAAUCCCCGGGCUCAACCUGGGAACUGCAUUCAAAACUGACGAGCUAGAGUAUGGUAGAGGGUGGUGGAAUUUCCUGUGUAGCGGUGA